AAAAGAUGGGAUUCGGCGAUUACCCCGCUGAAUACAAUCCGAAAAUCCACGGUCCUUACGAUCCGGCACGCUUUUAUGGAAAACGUUCGUAUUAUUCUCGUA
Molecule: long non-coding RNA, 102 nt
Organism: Oryctes borbonicus
Lineage: Eukaryota; Metazoa; Arthropoda; Insecta; Coleoptera; Scarabaeidae
Rfam family: Sphinx_ conserved region 1
Source: Rfam